Molecule: ribosomal RNA, 549 nt
Filed under: uncultured Rhizophagus
Lineage: Eukaryota; Fungi; Glomeromycota; Glomeromycetes; Glomerales; Glomeraceae
Description: SSU rRNA
Rfam family: Eukaryotic small subunit ribosomal RNA
Source: RNAcentral
UUGGAGGGCAAGUCUGGUGCCAGCAGCCGCGGUAAUUCCAGCUCCAAUAGCGUAUAUUAAAGUUGUUGCAGUUAAAAAGCUCGUAGUUGAAUUUCGGGGUCAGUAGGUUGGUCAUGCCACUGGUAUGUACUGGUCUCACUGAUUCCUCCUUCCUGAUGAGCUGUAAUGCCAUUAAUUUGGUGUUGCGGGGAAUCUGGACUGUUACUUUGAAAAAAUUAGAGUGUUUAAAGCAGGCUAACGCCUGAAUACAUUAGCAUGGAAUAAUGAAAUAGGACGUUCGAUCCUAUUUUGUUGGUUUCUAGGAUCAACGUAAUGAUUAAUAGGGAUAGUUGGGGGCAUUAGUAUUCAAUUGUCAGAGGUGAAAUUCUUGGAUUUAUUGAAGACUAACUACUGCGAAAGCAUUUGCCAAGGAUGUUUUCAUUAAUCAAGAACGAAAGUUAGGGGAUCGAAGACGAUCAGAUACCGUCGUAGUCUUAACCAUAAACUAUGCCGACUAGGGAUCGGAUGAUGUUAAUUUUUUAAUGACUCGUUCGGCGCCUUACGGGAAAC